ACUUACAUCUACAAACGCCGGGGAAUUACGAGCUACGCUUAAAACCCAAAGGAUUUGACGGUGUCCCACCCCCCUAGAGGAGCCUGUUCUAUAAUCGAUAAUACCCGCUAUACCCAACCACCUCUCGCUAUUCAGUCUGUAUACCUCCGUCGAAAGCUUACCAUGUGAACGCCUACAGUAAGUACAAUGGCUACCAACGUCAACACGUCAGGUCAAGGUGCAGCUUAAGUGGUGGAAAGUAAUUGGCUACAAUUUCUAACCUAGAACAAACGGAAGGCUAUGUGAAACCAUAGCUCUGAAGGCGGAUUUAGUAGUAAAAAGAAAAUAGAGCGUUCUUUUUAACCCGGCUCUGGGACGCGUACACACCGCCCGUCAC
RNAcentral lists this ribosomal RNA (376 nucleotides) under Odorrana graminea (large odorous frog). RNAcentral's name for it is "partial 12S ribosomal RNA". It matches the Rfam family "Bacterial small subunit ribosomal RNA", at positions 875 to 1400 of the family's 1533-position model. The record is from RNAcentral. Lineage: Eukaryota; Metazoa; Chordata; Amphibia; Anura; Ranidae.